CAGAAACCUCCUAUGCUGUGGUCUUUACAUUUAACGUCAUUAACAUCAGUAUGCCAGAGGACCCUAAGUCUAGAGGCAACACCAACCAACAAUUGCAGGAUACCAUCAAUAAUGCGCUGAACACUCUUCUGAACGAACCUGGCAGUCCAAAUUUACAACCCAAGUCAUCAAACUUCAAGAAUACAUUAAAUCAGAUUGAGGGCAGUAUGGCGUACAUCUUCCAAGAUACAGGUGCCAUAAAACCAGUCAGCUUCUUACAGGCACUUAAUUCAUUGACAGUCUUAACGACAGCCAGCACUCUGACAACAAGCGCAACUUCUCCACCAACAUUGUUGGGGAAGGUUUAUAUAAAUAUUCGAUUGGUAUUUAACACAUUGGGCCAAAUACCAAGUGAAACUAUCAUUCUACAGUUGGCCAAAUCUUUGAUUGGCCCACGUUACAGAACUAAAGAUGUCUCAACACCAACCCAAGAUGCGAGCCUUAUGAAUGUCACCUAUACAAGAAUUAAUGAUACCUCCUAUGCGCUCACAUUUGGAUUUGAAAUCAGCAAUAUAUCCAUAGCUGAGAAAAUUGAACUAAGGAAUGAAACUUACACUUCAAUCAAAAGCACUAUAAAUGAAUUGCUUAUCGAAAUCCUAAAGGACCCCUCAGCUUCUCAGUUUGAUCUCCAUCAUGUUGAAUUCAAGGAUAAUAGCACAGUAAUUCUGGCCAGUGUUCAGUAUGUUUUCUCAGAAAGUGACUUGAACACAAACAGCACCUUUGUCCAGAAAAUAUUCAAAGCUAAUGAAGUCUUGACGACAGCCAGCACUCUGACAACAACUUCUCCACCAAACUUGCUUGGGAAAGUGAUCAUAUACAUCAGGCUUGUGUUUAGAACGCGGGGUACUAUACCAAGUCAGAGUAACGUUAUACAUGUAGCUAACACUCUGUUGAAUGGAAUGAAACUGAGAACUAAACGAGCCCUUACAACAAAAGAUCUGACUGAACUUGUGAGCUUUGUGAAUGUCACCUAUACAAAAAUUGAUGAUACCUCCUUCUCUCUUAACUUUGGAUUUGAAAUCAGCAAUGUGUCCAUCUCAGAGAAACUUGAAUUCAGGAAUGAGACCUACAAAGUGAUCCAGAACUAUAUUAAUUCAUUUGUAUCCACAAUACUAAAUAAAACAACAACUACUGACUUUAAUUUCAAUCAAAUCAUUUUCAAGGGUAAUUCCACUGUGAUUGAGGCCAGCGUAGAGUAUGUCUUCACAGACACUGACAUCGGCAGUUUCGGCUUGGUCACAACUUUGCUCGGACUUACUACAACAGCCGCUCCAACCACCUUUUACCCCACAAUUCUGCACACUACAAUCUCAAACAACAGUACUAAUGCAGCAUGGAUUGUGGCUAUCAUUGUCCCCUGUGCUAUUGUCAUCGGGCUCGUACCUUGCUGGAUUCUUCUUUGUUGUUUGCUGUGUGGUUGCUGUGCAGCAAUCAGAAGACGUUGGCACAGAAGACGGUCAUACAAUGUGCAGUACACCACUCGAAACAGUCUCUUCUAGAGAUAUUCAAAAACAAACUUUGACACAUAAAAGUUUAUUAAUUUUCCUGUAUUGCUGGGCAUACCUGACCUCUCCAAAUGUGAUGCAACUUUGAUUAAAAAAAAAGACUAUUUAUGGAAUGAUUUUAUUUAUUUGUAAAUUCUGUUAUGUAAAGUAAUGAUGAUCUUGCUUUCUAAAUGAAAGAUUUAUUUGGUAGUAUGUAUCUAAUGUUAAGGGAAAAAUGUAGAAUGUGUUUAUUCACACUUCAUGUACUUUAUCUUUAUCUAAAAUAAUAUAUUGCACCCUGAUGACAUAUUUAUGUGCCAUUCCACAAUUAAUGUUUUAAGACUGUGUAGUUAAAAACUAAUUUAAUAAAAAACAAUUCAAUAUCAA
Cyprinus carpio carpio is the source of this 1910-nucleotide long non-coding RNA. Lineage: Eukaryota; Metazoa; Chordata; Actinopteri; Cypriniformes; Cyprinidae. The record is from Ensembl.